RNAcentral lists this ribosomal RNA (563 nucleotides) under uncultured Phenylobacterium sp. RNAcentral's name for it is "bacterial SSU rRNA". It matches the Rfam family "Bacterial small subunit ribosomal RNA", at positions 335 to 916 of the family's 1533-position model. Lineage: Bacteria; Pseudomonadati; Pseudomonadota; Alphaproteobacteria; Caulobacterales; Caulobacteraceae. The record is from RNAcentral.
ACUCCUACGGGAGGCAGCAGUAGGGAAUCUUGCGCAAUGGGCGAAAGCCUGACGCAGCCAUGCCGCGUGAAUGAUGAAGGUCUUAGGAUUGUAAAAUUCUUUCAGCAGGGAAGAUAAUGACUGUACCUGCAGAAGAAGCCCCGGCUAACUUCGUGCCAGCAGCCGCGGUAAUACGAAGGGGGCUAGCGUUGCUCGGAAUUACUGGGCGUAAAGGGCGCGUAGGCGGGUGCUUAAGUCAGAGGUUAAAUCCCAGGGCUCAACCCUGGAACUGCCUUUGAUACUGGGCACCUUGAGUACGGGAGAGGUGAGUGGAACUCCGAGUGUAGAGGUGAAAUUCGUAGAUAUUCGGAAGAACACCAGUGGCGAAGGCGACUCACUGGCCCGUUACUGACGCUGAGGCGCGAAAGCGUGGGGAGCAAACAGGAUUAGAUACCCUGGUAGUCCACGCCGUAAACGAUGAGUGCUAGUUGUCGGCAUGCAUGCAUGUCGGUGACGCAGCUAACGCAUUAAGCACUCCGCCUGGGGAGUACGGUCGCAAGAUUAAAACUCAAAGGAAUUGACGG